Molecule: ribosomal RNA, 497 nt
Filed under: uncultured bacterium
Lineage: Bacteria
Description: partial 16S ribosomal RNA
Rfam family: Bacterial small subunit ribosomal RNA
Source: RNAcentral
GAUGAACGCUGGCGGCGUGCCUAAUACAUGCAAGUCGAGCGAACAGACGAGGAGCUUGCUCCUCUGACGUUAUCGCCGGUCGGGUGAGUAACACGUGGAUAACCUACCUAUACGACUGGGAUAACUUCGGGAAACCGUAGCUAAUACCGGAUAAUAUAUUGACCCUCAUUGUUCAAUCGUGAAAGUCGGUUUUUCUUUCACUUAUAGCUUGCUACGCCCCGCAUUAGCUAGUUGGUAAGGUAACGGCUUACCGAGGCAACGAUGCGUAGCCGACCUGAGAGGGUGAUCGGCCACACGGGAACUGAGACACGGUCCAGACUCCUACGGGAGGAAGCAGUAGGGAAUCUUCCGCGAUGGGCGAAAGCCUGACGGAGCAACGCCGCGUGAGUGAUGAAGGUGUUCGGAUCGUAAAACUCUGUUAUUAGGGAAGAACAAAUGUGUAAGUAACUAUGCACGUCUUGACGGUACCGAAUCAGAAAGCCACGGCUAACUACGUG